Long non-coding RNA from Brassica oleracea var. oleracea, 568 nucleotides. RefSeq lists it as uncharacterized. Lineage: Eukaryota; Viridiplantae; Streptophyta; Magnoliopsida; Brassicales; Brassicaceae. The transcript has 4 exons. The record is from RefSeq and is a predicted model, not a curated record.
AAAAAAAAAUCAGUUUAGUCAAGCGAAAACAAAAACGACAAGUAACUUUACCUUCUCCCCUUCUCUUAACGACUGCAUCUAGAUGAAGAAAUAAGAACAAUCGAUCGGAGGCUGAUACAAAUGGAACACAUAUCAGACGGAACUACAAUGAUCCCGAUCCAACGGAAAAAGGGUAUCGAAGUAUGAACGGUUUGACAGAAGCAUCUAAAGAAAACAAAAAUGAAGCUGAAGCGGCGGUGGGAGAUAAUAUUGGUAAGUGUUGCUGGGAAUCCAUUGAUCUGUAGAAGCAGCCCACCUGAGAUUUGUUCUGGAUAUCACCUGUCCAAGCCCUCUUUACGUUUCUUUGAGCUUCUCAUCGGACUAAACUAAGGCAUGCUGGCGAGAAUGACGUUAUAUAGAUGGGAUUAUAAGAGUUAAUUUUGGUCCAUCCGGAUGAGGUACAAUUUAAUUAAGUUAAGUGCCGAGAAUUUAUUUAGGUGGUUUAGGAAUCUUAUGAAACGACAGUUUAUUAAGCCAGUGGUGUAAGUAUGUAAUUUUUGAGGAAAACUUAGGAUUGUUAUAAAUCAUG